GAUCAAAAAAUUGUUAUAGGUAGAAAGUUAAUUAUAUUAGUUAUAAAAAAUAAUUUAAUUUUUAUUAAUUUAUGUGAAUAAAUUGAUGUAACUAAAGUGAAUUAGUAUUGUGAAAGAAUUUUUUUUAAUUGGAUAAUAGAAAGUUUAAAUUUCUGUACCUUGAGUAUCAGGGUUAUUCAAAUUAAACUUAACUAAUUAAGUUUCUCGGAUUUAAAAGAGUUAUAGAUUUAUUGUUUUAUUGUAGAAAAAAUAUUAUUAAUAUAUUUAUAGAAAUGAGAUGUUAUUCGAUUUUAAGUAUAUCUAGUUUUUUAAGAAAAAAAUUUAAUUUUAUUUUAAUGAUAUUAUAGUUUUAUAUUUUUAUAAUUAUAAUUGUUAAAUUUUAUAUUUUAGGGGAUGAGCUUUAAAAUAGAUUUAUAUAAUUAAAUAUGGAAAAGAAUAUAUAGUAGAAUUAUAAGUUUUAAUCUAAGAAAGUGUGUUAUAACUGUAUAUUUUAGAGAUAAAAUUUAUAUAGAGUUUAUUUAUUUUAUUAGAAUAUAAAUUUUAAUAAUUUUAAUUUAGUGAAAAUGAUUAAAUUAGUAUAAGUAAGAGGAGUAAAUUGUUUAUUUACUGAAAGGUUUUGUAAAAGAAUUCGGCAAAAGUUUUUUCACCUGUUUAUUAAAAACAUGGCUUGUUGAUUAUAAUUUCAAGUCUGGCCUGCCCAAUGAAGGGUUUAAUGGCCGCGGUAUAUUGACCGUGCAAAGGUAGCAUAAUCAUUAGUUUUUUAAUUGAAAGCUAGAAUGAAGGGUUUGAUGAAAAAAAAACUGUUUCUAUAAAAUUUAAUUAGAAUUUUAUUUUUAAGUAAAAAAGCUUAAAUGUUUAUAGAAGACGAGAAGACCCUAUAGAGUUUUAUAUUUAAGGCAAUAGGUAGUGUUAAGAUGAGAUUUUAUUUAUUGAAAUAUGUAUUUUUUUGGGGAGAAAGAAAAAUUGAUUAAACUUUUUUUUAAAACAAAUCAUUGAUUUAUGAAUUUUUGAUCUUUAGGUUAAGAUUAUAAGAAUAAAUUACCUUAGGGAUAACAGCGUAAUUUUUUUUAGAGUUCUGAUCAAAUAAAAGGAUUGCGACCUCGAUGUUGGAUUAAAAUUUAUUUUUGGUGAAGAGGCUGAAAUAUUAGGUCUGUUCGACCUUUAAAAUUUUACAUGAUCUGAGUUUAGACCGGUGUGAGCCAGGUUGGUUUCUAUCUCUAUAAAGAUAAUAUAUUUUAGUACGAAAGGACCAAUUAUAUAAUUAAUAAUUUUAAUUUUUGAUUAAUAAUAAUAA
Molecule: ribosomal RNA, 1294 nt
Filed under: Trigonopterus sp. 7 AH-2016
Lineage: Eukaryota; Metazoa; Arthropoda; Insecta; Coleoptera; Curculionidae
Description: 16S ribosomal RNA
Rfam family: Archaeal large subunit ribosomal RNA (bases 1049-1206)
Source: RNAcentral